Molecule: transfer RNA, 76 nt
Filed under: Pseudomonadota bacterium
Lineage: Bacteria; Pseudomonadati; Pseudomonadota
Also listed under: 1 other name
Description: tRNA-Ala
Rfam family: tRNA
About the family: Transfer RNA (tRNA) molecules are approximately 80 nucleotides in length.
Source: RNAcentral
GGGGAGUUAGCUCAGGUGGUAGAGCGUCGGCUUUGCAAGCCGAAGGUCAGCGGUUCGAAUCCGCUACUCUCCACCA